AUAUAUAUAUAUAUAUAUCAGUGUACAAAGAUAUCGAAGAAAACAACGAAAACCCGUUUCGAAAACCCAAAACCCACGUCAGAAAUCAAUUAAAGGACAUAAAAAAAUUUCCCUUUCCCAUAAUGAUUCCAUUUGGGUUGGUUAAAGGAAUUUGAGGUAGCAUUUUUUGAAUCAAUUUUGGGAUUUGGGUUUUGUGAGAUAAAUGCGAAUGGGAAUGAGAGAAACUGGAAUAUCAAAAUAUGAAUAGGUGGGAGAGGUUCGUUGUUCUUUUCUGAGGACUGUUUUGGAAUGAGGAGGUCAGGUGGACGUCGUACGGUCUGUUACUGACUGUUCACGCUCACGCCAUUGCGAUGAAGCUGAGUCGGCACUACACACACAAUAUGAGAAAUAAAGCGCAGAGAAAAG
RNAcentral lists this unclassified non-coding RNA (405 nucleotides) under Hevea brasiliensis (rubber tree). The record is from RNAcentral. Lineage: Eukaryota; Viridiplantae; Streptophyta; Magnoliopsida; Malpighiales; Euphorbiaceae.